GCAUAUCAAUAAGCGGAGGAAAAGAAACUAACAAGGAUUCCCCUAGUAACUGCGAGUGAAGCGGGGAAAAGCUCAAAUUUAAAAUCUGGCAGUCUUUGGCUGUCCGAAGUUGUAAUCUAGAGAAGUGCUAUCCGUGCUGGACCGUGUACAAGUCUCCUGGAAUGGAGCGUCACAGAGGGUGAGAAUCCCGUCUUUGACACGGACUCCCAGUACAUUGUGAUGUGCUCUCAAAGAGUCGAGUUGUUUGGGAAUGCAGCUCUAAAUGGGUGGUAAAUUCCAUCUAAAGCUAAAUAUUGGCGAGAGACCGAUAGCGAACAAGUACCGUGAGGGAAAGAUGAAAAGAACUUUGGAAAGAGAGUUAAACAGUACGUGAAAUUGUUGAAAGGGAAACGCUUGAAGUCAGUCAUGUUGGCCAGGGAUCAACCCUGCUUUUUUGCUGGGUGUACUUCCUGGUUGAUAGGUCAGCAUCAAUUUUGACCACUGGAAAAAAGGCUGAGGGAAUGUGGCAUCUUCGGAUGUGUUAUAGCCCUUGGUUGUAUACAGUGGUUGGGAUUGAGGAACUCAGCAUGCCGCAAGGCCAGGUCUUUGACCAUGUUCAUGCUUAGGAUGCUGGCAUAAUGGCUUUAAUCGACCCGUCUUGAAACACGGACCAAGGAGUCUAACAUGCCUGCGAGUGUUUGGGUGGAAAACCCGAGCGCGUAAUGAAAGUGAAAGUUGAGAUCCCUGUCGUGGGGAGCAUCGACGCCCGGACCAGAACUUUUGGGACGGAUCUGCGGUAGAGCAUGUAUGUUGGGACCCGAAAGAUGGUGAACUAUGCCUGAAUAGGGCGAAGCCAGAGGAAACUCUGGUGGAGGCUCGUAGCGAUUCUGACGUGCAAAUCGAUCGUCGAAAUUUGGGUAUAGGGGCGAAAGACUAAUCGAMCCAUCUAGUAGCUGGUCUGCG
Molecule: ribosomal RNA, 942 nt
Filed under: Amanita vittadinii
Lineage: Eukaryota; Fungi; Basidiomycota; Agaricomycetes; Agaricales; Amanitaceae
Description: LSU rRNA
Rfam family: Eukaryotic large subunit ribosomal RNA
Source: RNAcentral